GUGAGGAAUUUUCCGCAAUGGGCGAAAGCCUGACGGAGCAAUGCCGCGUGAAGGAUGAAGGCCUAUGGGUUGUAAACUUCUUUUCUCAGAAAAGAAUUAUGACGGUAUCUGAGGAAUAAGCAUCGGCUAACUCUGUGCCAGCAGCCGCGGUAAGACAGAGGAUGCAAGCGUUAUCCGGAAUGAUUGGGCGUAAAGCGUCUGUAGGUUGUUUAAAAAGUAUUCUGCCAAAGAUUAGGGCUUAACCCUAGAUAGGCAGAAUAAACUUUUAAGGUAGAGUUGGGUAGAGGCAGAGGGAAUUCCCGGUGGAGGGGUGAAAUGCGUAGAUAGCGGGAGGAACACCAAAGGCGAAGGCACUCUGCUGGGCCAAUACUAACACUGAGAGACGAAAGCGAGGGGAGCAAAUGGGAUUAGAAACCCCGGUAGUCC
This 426-nucleotide ribosomal RNA is filed under the name uncultured bacterium. RNAcentral describes it as "partial 16S ribosomal RNA". It matches the Rfam family "Bacterial small subunit ribosomal RNA", at positions 354 to 796 of the family's 1533-position model. The record is from RNAcentral.